CAAUAGUGCUCAGAUGGCCAGGUCUCGGGUGGGCAGGCCCCCAGGAUGGCCAGAGCAUGCGGCCAUAUAGCUCAAAUGGCCACAAGGUAGAGCAGCGACAGUGGAAGCAAAGAACUGAAAGCAUUAUUCAGUUCAGUCUCCUCUCAUUCAUCCCUUGCUCGCUCACUUGCACACUUGCACACUUGCUCAUUCAACAAACAUUUAGGGAGUGUCUGGUGUGAGGGACACUGUGGUGAACAAGAUGUGGGAUUGUCUCCAGAAGUGCUCACAAAGAAGUUGAGAGAUUCAGGCUCCUAUCCUGGCCCUGCCACCUUUGAGCCAUGUGACUUGGAACUGAGCCACUUCUUUACGGGCUUCGUGGAAGCAUCUGUAAAAACAGACCUUGCCUCACACAUACAGAGGCCUUAUGAGGCUAACAGAGAAGAAAGGGCUUUGUAAACUAAAAUCUAUAGGAUAAAUCUAGGACUGUAAGUUGUCUAUUUGGAAUAUAAUAGUAAUGACUGUUUUCUGAGUACUUGCCAGGUGUAGGUAUUAUACUAAGGAUGUCGCAUGCGUUAGCUCAUUUAAUCUUCACAACACCUGUAGGGAAUAGUUUUUAAUAUUCCUCUUUCGCAGAUAAGAAAGUGGAGGGCAAGAGAAUGUUAAUUUGCUUGUUCAAGUCCCCCAGCAAGUCAGUGAUAGAGCUGGAAUUGAACUUUAGGUGGUUAGACACCAAGUCCAACAUGUGCUUUCUGCACCACUUUGCCCUUGGAACUCUUAUCCUUAAGCCAGUUCUCCUGGUCUCACCUUGGGUUCUAACUGCUGGAUCUUCCUGGAAUUGUUCACACAUCCGGCCAGGGGCCCAGCGACCUGCUUUUACCUCUCAUUUUCUGCACUAUCCAGGGCUCGGCCUUGCCUGUGCAGGGACCCAGAACUUUGCCCAUUCUGUAGCUCCUGAGGAGCCUGACCUGUGCAUGGCACUAGAGCUGGAACUCUGCCUACCAAGGAGCAGGCUCUGCAAGUGCAACCAAGGAGGAGUCUGGUCAGUAAGCUUGAAACCAUAGCCUUUCAUAUACAUGAGAAGCAAUAAGGAAGCAGCGAGGGCUCAGAUGGACCCCAACAUGAGAGUCACUCCUCUCCUAGGCCAAGGAGGAUGUUGCUGCCAUAGACAGCAUCGGCAAGCAGAAGUGCCUCAUAAAACCAAACCUGGUGGCCAGAGUUGACCUGCCUCCCUAGAGCAGUACAUGAAUCAUCAAGGCGUCCAUCUGGUCUCCUCCUGUGCAUCUGUCGCUGGAUCUAGCAAAAGGCUGGGCACUAUGGACUGAUCUAAAGGAGGGACGGGAGGCCAGAACCCACCCACUAGUCCUAACUCUGUCACUGACUCCCUCAAUGACCUUGGCCAAUUUCCUGCCCUCUCUGGGCCUGUCAUGAAUCAAAGAAGGCAUGAGUUAGCUGACUAGGUGAGUCCCCUAUAGCUUUAAAGUUAUAGGUUUUGCUCUGAGGUCACGCUGGCCUUGCCAAGCUAGAAUGGACAGGUUCAAGGGGUGGGAAAAUAAUCUCAAAGAACAUGGGCUUCAAAAUCAGACCUGGAUUAGACUCUACCUCUAUUAUUUUAUGGCAAUGUGACUUUAGGUAACUAAUUUCAUCCUGGUGAUUCUCAAUUUCUCCAUGUAUAAAAAUGGGGGAGUUAAUAGCUACCCUCUUUGGUUUGGGAGA
Long non-coding RNA from Nycticebus coucang (slow loris), 1695 nucleotides. RefSeq lists it as uncharacterized. The record is from RefSeq and is a predicted model, not a curated record. The transcript has 3 exons. NCBI's taxonomy places the organism in Eukaryota, Metazoa, Chordata, Mammalia, Primates, Lorisidae.